This 25-nucleotide non-coding RNA is filed under the name Cricetulus griseus (Chinese hamster). Lineage: Eukaryota; Metazoa; Chordata; Mammalia; Rodentia; Cricetidae. The record is from RNAcentral.
CAUUGACUAAAGGGACAUGAGGUUG